Molecule: ribosomal RNA, 509 nt
Filed under: uncultured bacterium
Lineage: Bacteria
Description: partial 16S ribosomal RNA
Rfam family: Bacterial small subunit ribosomal RNA
Source: RNAcentral
ACGAACGCUGGCGGCGUGCUUAACACAUGCAAGUCGAACGAAGAGCGAUGGAAGCUUGCUUCUAUCAAUCUUAGUGGCGAACGGGUGAGUAACGCGUAAUCAACCUGCCCUUCAGAGGGGGACAACAGUUGGAAACGACUGCUAAUACCGCAUACGAUCUAAACUCGGCAUCGAGGAUAGAUGAAAGGUGGCCUCUACAUGUAAGCUAUCACUGAAGGAGGGGAUUGCGUCUGAUUAGCUGGUUGGAGGGGUAACGGCCCACCAAGGCGAUGAUCAGUAGCCGGUCUGAGAGGAUGAACGGCCACAUUGGGACUGAGACACGGCCCAGACUCCUACGGGAGGCAGCAGUGGGGAAUCUUCCGCAAUGGACGAAAGUCUGACGGAGCAACGCCGCGUGAGUGAUGACGGCCUUCGGGUUGUAAAGCUCUGUUAAUCGGGACGAAAGGCCUUCUUGCGAAUAGUGAGAAGGAUUGACGGUACCGGAAUAGAAAGCCACGGCUAACUACGUG